ACGCACGCUGGCGGCCGGCCUCACACAUGCAAGUCGAGCGCGCCCUUCGGGGUGAGCGGCGGACGGGUGAGUAACGCGUGGGAACGUGCCCUUCUCUGCGGAAUAGCCUCGGGAAACUGAGAGUAAUACCGCAUACGCCCUUUGGGGGAAAGAUUUAUCGGAGAAGGAUCGGCCCGCGUUGGAUUAGGUAGUUGGUGGGGUAAUGGCCCACCAAGCCGACGAUCCAUAGCUGGUUUGAGAGGAUGAUCAGCCACACUGGGACUGAGACACGGCCCAGACUCCUACGGGAGGCAGCAGUGGGGAAUCUUAGACAAUGGGGGCAACCCUGAUCUAGCCAUGCCGCGUGAGUGAUGAAGGCCUUAGGGUUGUAAAGCUCUUUCAGCUGGGAAGAUAAUGACGGUACCAGCAGAAGAAGCCCCGGCUAACUCCGUG
This 432-nucleotide ribosomal RNA is filed under the name uncultured bacterium. Its description in RNAcentral is "partial 16S ribosomal RNA". It matches the Rfam family "Bacterial small subunit ribosomal RNA", at positions 29 to 507 of the family's 1533-position model. The record is from RNAcentral.